GCAAUCAAUUCUCAUAAUAGAUCCGUUAGAAAUCAAAACUCUCUCUCUAUAUAAACAACCUUUUGUUAUUGUUUUGAAACAUAAGAUUGAAUAUGUUUCUCUGCAAAUCUUUCCUUCUUCAGACAAAACCCACACAAACUUGUCUGUUUCUCUGCGAAUCUUUGUUUCUUCAGACAAAACCCACACAAACUUGUCUGUUUCUCUGCCAAUCUUUGUUUCUUUCAGACAAAACCACACAAACUUGACUCUUUCCAUCUUUGACAUCCCUGGAGACAGUUAAAUUGUCUUAUUUACCUCCGGAGUCCUUUGACAACAACCUCGUACGCCAUAAUAACCAGCAGCACCUUCGGAUCUCCGUCCCAACUCGAUCUCCUCCAUACCGUAAAAAUCAAGGUUGUGUAUAGUCGAGAGAUGCAGCCAGGAGGAAGGUUAUGUUCCGAUGGUGUAUACAGGCUAUCUUAUUAUGGGAACAUAGGAAUGGAGAAUGGGGUUGUGAUCACGUUACUCUUGAGGCUGCUGCUGCUGGAUUGGGGGUACCUAACACAACCAAAGUUCUUCGUAGCUGUUUUGUUUUGCUGUUAUUGUAGUUUUGUGUUCAGAUGUUUAUGGUAGCUUCAUUCAAAGGAUACAAGAUCUUUUUUUUAACGAACAGAACAAGAUCUCUGUUUAUGUAAAGGUUUGUGGUUUAUGUAAAGAACAAGAAUCCAUGUUUCCUUGACUGUGGAGAAGUUAAUUACAAAGACCUUUAACAACUA
Long non-coding RNA from Brassica napus (rape), 755 nucleotides. RefSeq lists it as uncharacterized. The transcript has 2 exons. The record is from RefSeq and is a predicted model, not a curated record. Lineage: Eukaryota; Viridiplantae; Streptophyta; Magnoliopsida; Brassicales; Brassicaceae.